GUUUUCCCAGCACCACUUAUUGAAGAGGCUGUCCUUUCUCCACUGUACAUUCCUGCCUCCUUUAUCAAAGGCUUGCCAGCUUGGAGCAUGGGCUCCACUGAACUGAGAGGUUGUGGCCUGCACUUCCCAGUUGACCAGCAGGAGGUGGUAUGCCCACCUUGCUGAUCCUUGAGGUGCAUAUGUGCCCCACUGAUGAACUUGGCUCGUGAAGGAACUUGGCUUCUCAUGCUGCUGAUUGAAGUUCAGUCUCUUCAGGAUCCGCCAUGGUUUCAGCAUUGGGACAACACUGUUGAGUCCAUGCAGGCAGGAACCAGAUGUCUUCAGGAACUGCCAGGAGGCACCACCAUGGGAGGAAAAGCUUGUGAGAUCUUGGUUCCCAGGCCGGAAGUCGGGCCUGAGCUGCUGUGGUAAGAGCCCAGAGUCCAAACUGCUUGACUACCAGAGAACCUGGAGACCCCAGGGAAUAUUAAUCAGAGUGAGAUCUCCCAGAGGGUCCUCAUCUCAGCACCAAGACCCAGCUCUACCCAACUGCCUGCAAACUCCAGUGCUGGAAGCCUCAGGCCGAACAAACAGUAAAACAGGAACACAGUCCCACCCAUCAAAAAAAGAGACAACAAACUAUGUUACAGAUGAAGGAGCAAGGUAACCUACCUGAAAAAGAAUUCAGAGUAAUGAUAGUAAAGAUGAUCCAAAAUCUCAGAAAUAGAAUGGAGGCACAGAUCAAGGUCUUUAACAAAGACCUAGAAGAACUAAAGAACAAACAAACGAGAUAUUAAUCAAACUAACAAAAAUUAAAUUCAAAGAAAAAAUAUUAAGGGAAAAGAAAAAAAUAACAUACAAGGGAAUUCCCAUAAGGUUAUCAGCUGAUUUCUCAGCAGAAACUCUGCAGGCCAGAGGGAGUGGCAGGAUGUAUUUAAAGCCAUGAAAGGGAAAAACGUACAACCAAGAUCUCUCUACCCAGCAAGGCUCUCAUCCAGAUUUGAUGGAGAAAUCAAAAGCUUUACAGAUAAGCAAAAGCUAUGAGAAUUCACCACCACCAAACCAGCUUUACAACAAACGCUAAAGGAUCAUCUCUAGGCAGGAAACACAAAAGAAAAAGACCCACAAAAACCCAAAACAAUUUAGAAAAUGGGAAUAGGAACAUACAUAUCAAUAAUUACCUUAAAUGUAAAUGUAUUAAAUGCUCCAACCAAAAGACACAGACUGGCUGAAUGGAUACAAAAACAGGACCCAUAUAUAUGUUGUCUACAAGAAACACAUGCAGACUGAAAGUUGAGGGGAUGGAAAGAGAUAUGCCAUGCAAACUGAAAUCACAAGAAAGCUGGAGUAGCAGUACUCAUAUCAGAUGAAAGAGAUUUUAAAAUAAAGACGGUUACAAGAGAUAAGGAAGGACACUACAUAAUGCUCAAGGGAUCAAUCCAAGAGGAAAAUAAAGCAAUUAUAAAUAUUUAUGCAUCCAACAUAGGAGCACCUCAAUACAUAAGGCAAGUGCUUAUAGCCAUAAAAGGGGAAAUUGACAGUACCACAAUAAUAGUGGGGGACUUCUAACACCCCACUUACACUAAUAGAUCAUCCAUACAGAAAAUAAGGAAAUACAAGCUUUAAAUGACACAACAGAACAGAUAGAUUUAAUUGAUAUUUACAGGACCUUCCACCCAAAAGUGGAAAUACACUUUUUUCUCAAGUACUCACGGAAUGUUCUCCAGGAUAGAUCACAUCUUGGGUCACAAAUCAAGCCUUGGUAAAUUUAAGAAAACUGAAAAUGUAUCAAGUAUAUUUUCCAACCACAGCACUAUGAGGUUAGAAAUCAAUUACAGGAAAAAAACUAAAAACACACACAUGGAGGCUAAACACUGCACUGCUAAAUAACCAAGAGAUCGCUCAAGAAAUCAAAGAGGAAAUAAAAAAUACAUAGAAAUAAGUGACAAAGUAUGACAACCCAAAACCUAUAGGACACAGCAAAAGCAGUUCUAGGAGGGAAGUUUAUAGCAAUUUAGUCUCACCUCAAGAAACAAGAAAAAUCUCAAACAAUCUAACCUUAUACCUAAAGCAACCAGAGAAGAAGAAGAAAACCCAAAGUCAGUAGAAGGAAAGAAAUCAUAAAGAUCAGAGCAGAAAUAAAUGAAACAGAAAGGAAGAAAAUAAUAGCAAAGGUCAAAAAAACUACAAGUUGGUUCUUUAGGAAGGUAAACAAAAUUGAUAAACCAUUAGCUAGACUCAUCAAGAAGAAAAGGGAGAGGACUCAAAUGAAUAAAAUUAGAAAUGAAAAAGGAGAAGUUACAACAGACACUGCAGAAAUACAAGGAUAAGAGACUGCUACAAGGAACUAUAUGCCAAUAAAAUGGACAACCUGGAAAAAAUGGACAAAUUCUUAGGAAGGUACAACUUUCUAAGACAGAGCCAGGAAGAAGUAGAAAAUAUAAACAGACAAAUCACAAGUAAUAAAAUUGAAAGUGUAAUUAAAAAUCUUCCAACAAACAAAAGUCCAGGACCAGAUGGCUUCACAGGUGAAUUCUAUCAAACAUUUAGAGAAGAGCUAACACCUAUCCUUCUCAAACUCUUCCAAAAAAUUGCAGAGGGAGUAACAUUCCCAAACUCGUUCUACGAGGCCACCAUCACCCUCAUACCAACACCAAAGAUAUCAUAAAGAAAAUUACAGCAAUAUCACUGAUGAACGUAGACACAAAAAUCCUCAACAAAAUACUAGCAAACAGAAUCCAACAGCACAUUAAAAGGAUCAUACACCAUGGUCAAGUGGGAUUUAUCCCAGAGAUGCAAGGAUUCUUCAAUAUACACAAAUCAAUGUGAUACACCAUAUUAACACAUUAAAGAAUAAAAACCAUAUGAUCAUCUCAACAGAUGCAGAAAAAGCUUUUGACAAAAUUCAACACCCGUUUAUGAUAAAAACUCUCCAGAAAGUGGGCAUAGAGGGAACCUACCUCAACAUAAUAAAGGCCAUAUAUGAUAAACCCACAGCAAACAUCAUUCUCAAAGGUAAAAAAGUGAAAGCAUUUCCACUACGAUCAGCUACAAGACAAGGAUGUCCACUCUUGCCACUCAUAUUCAAAAGUCCUAGCCACGGCAAUCAGAGAAGGAAAAGAAGAGGAAUCCAAAUUGGAAAAGAAGUAAAACUGUCACUGUUUGCAGAUGACAUGGUACUGUACUAUACUAUAGAGAAUCCUAAAGAGGCUACGAGAAAACUAAUGAAUUUGGUAAAGUUGCAGGAUACAAAAUUAAUGCACAGAAAUCUCUUGCAUUCCUAUGCACUAAGAACAAAAGAUCAGAAAGAGAAAUUAAGGAAACAAUCCCAUUUACCACUGCAACAAAAAGAAUAAAAUACCUAGGAAUAAACCUACCUAAGGAGGCCAAAGACUUGCAUGCAGAAAACUCAAAGACACUGAUGAAAGAAAUUAAAGAUGAUACCAACAGAUGGACAGAUACACCAUGUUCUUGGAUUGGAAGAAUCAGUACUGUGAAAAUGACUACCAAAAGCAAUCUACAGAUUCAAUGCAAUCCCUAUUAAAUUACCAAUGGCAUUCUUCACCAAAUUAAAACAAAAACUUUUAUAAUUUGUAUGGAAACACAAAAGAUCCCGAAUAGCCAGAGCAAUCUUGAGAAAGGAAAACAGAGCUGGAGGAAUCAGGCUCCCUGACUUCAGACUGUACUACAGAGCUACAGUAGUGAAGACAGUAUGGUACUGGCACAAAAACAGAAAGAUAGAUCAAUGGUACAGUAGAGAAAGCCCAGAGAUAAACCCAAGCACCUAUGGUCACCUAAUCUAUGACAAAGGAGGCAAGAAUAUACAAUGGAGAAAAGACAGCCUCUUCAAUAAGUGGUGUUGGGAAAACUAGAUAGCUACAUGGAAAAGAAUGAAAUUAGAACACUCCCUAACACCAUACACAAAAAUAAGCUCAAAAUGGAUUAAAGACCUAAAUGUAAGACCAGACACUAUCAAACUCUUAGAGGAGAACAUAGGAAGAACACUCUUUGACAUAAACCACAGCAAAAUCUUUUUUGACCCACCUCCUAGAGUAAUGAAAAUAAAAACAAAGACAAAUGGGUUACCUAAUUAAACUUAAAAGCUUUUGCACAGCAAAGGAAAUUAUAAACAAAACAAAAAACAGCCCUCAGAAUGGGAGAAAAUAUAGGCAAAUGAAGCAACCGACCAGGGAUUAAGCUCCAAAAUAUACAAACAGCUUAUGCAGCUCAAUAUCAAAAAAACAACCCAAUCAAAAAAUGGGUGGAAGAUCUAAAUAGACAUUUCACCAAAGAAGACAUACAGGUGGCCAAGAGGCACAUGAAAAGGUACUCAACAUCACUAAUCAUUAGAGAAAUGCAAAUCAAAACUACAAUGAGGUAUCACCUCACAUCGGUCAAAAUGGCCAUCAUCAAAAAAUCUACAAACAGUAAAUGCUGGAGAGGGUGUGGAGAAAAGGGAACCCUCUUGCACUGUUGGUGCGAAUAUAAAUUGAGACCACCACUAUGGAGAAGGAGUAUGGAGGUUCCUUAAAAAACUAAAAAUAGAACUACUAUAUGACCUAGCAAUCCCACUAGUGGGCAUACAUACUGAGAAGACCGUAAUUAAAAGGACACGUGUACCCCAGUGUUCAUUGCAGCACUCUUUACAACAGCCAGCACAUGGAAACAACCUGAAUGUCCAACAGCAGAUGAAUGGAUAAAGAAGAUGUGGCACAUAUCUACAAUGGAAUAUUACUCAGCCAUAAAAUGGAACGAAAUUGAGUUAUUUGUAGUGAGGCAGAUGGACCUAGAAUCUGUCAUACAGAGUGAAGUAAGUCAGAAAGACAAAAACAAAUACCGUAUAUUAACGCGUGUAUGUGGGAUCUAGCAAAAGGGUACAGAUGAACCUAUUUCCGUGGUAGGAAUA
Globicephala melas (long-finned pilot whale) is the source of this 4885-nucleotide long non-coding RNA. RefSeq lists it as uncharacterized. The record is from RefSeq and is a predicted model, not a curated record. Lineage: Eukaryota; Metazoa; Chordata; Mammalia; Artiodactyla; Delphinidae.